GGAUGUGAGGGUGACCUGGCUGCGACACCAGUCACCCCGCUGGUCUCCAGGGUUGAUUGUGCUGAUCAGGCCAGCCAGGUGGUGUCCCCUUCCUCCGUCCGUACUCCACGCGCAUCUUUGCGGAAGCUGACUCCGGAGUAGACAACCUUCCCUGAAUAGAGACUGUCUUCAGUCGAGGCUGCGCUCCCCUGCUAGAACCUACAAACAAGCUCUCACAUGACACAUACAUUCUUUUUAACUUACUCAAACAGAGCAGUGUAUUAUAUUUGGAUCAUUAUAGCAUGAUAAAUGGGUAGCAGACGGAUGUGCUCAGACAG
This 317-nucleotide small nuclear RNA is filed under the name Erinaceus europaeus (western European hedgehog). Its description in RNAcentral is "7SK RNA (ENSEEUG00000021821.1)". It matches the Rfam family "7SK RNA". Rfam says of the family: 7SK was discovered as an abundant small nuclear RNA in the mid-70s but a possible function has only recently been suggested. Lineage: Eukaryota; Metazoa; Chordata; Mammalia; Eulipotyphla; Erinaceidae. The record is from RNAcentral.